AAUUUGAAUGCACAUCGACAUCCUUUGAGGAGUUAGCUAGCACUACAUUUGGUGUUGAUACUGCACAAGAUACUGCUAGAGGAGAUACUGCUAGAGGAUCUGAUGAGCAUAUGGUGGAUCUGGACCACGUCCCGGGGACAAGAGAGAUACUGCUAGAGGAUCUGAUGAGCAUAUG
This is a long non-coding RNA of Cryptomeria japonica (Japanese cedar), 175 nucleotides long. RefSeq lists it as uncharacterized. The record is from RefSeq and is a predicted model, not a curated record. NCBI's taxonomy places the organism in Eukaryota, Viridiplantae, Streptophyta, Pinopsida, Cupressales, Cupressaceae. The transcript has 3 exons.